This 73-nucleotide transfer RNA is filed under the name Alytes obstetricans pertinax. RNAcentral describes it as "tRNA-Asn". It matches the Rfam family "tRNA". From Rfam's summary of the family: Transfer RNA (tRNA) molecules are approximately 80 nucleotides in length. The record is from RNAcentral. Lineage: Eukaryota; Metazoa; Chordata; Amphibia; Anura; Alytidae.
UAGAAUGAAGCUCGCUGGAUUGAGCGUUUAGCUGUUAACUAAAAUGUCGCGGGGUCGUAGCCCGUCUUUCUAG